AGGCACCGCGGCCGCGCCGCCGCCGCGCUCCGCAGGCGCCCGCGCGCCGCCCCCGGCCCGCUGCCGCCGCCGCCAUGCGCCACAGCCUCGCGCAGCUGCUGGCGGCCUCCUCGGGCGGCGCGAGCCCCUCCGGCGCCGCGCGGCCGCUCGCCGGCGCCGGGCGGGACGGCGGGGAAGCGGAUCCGGGCCCCGCGCGGGCUAAGCAGCAGGCGCCGCCGCCACUGCCGCCGCGGCGGGGGGAGGACAAGGACGCGGAGGCGCCCGGCGGCCCGCUGGAGGUGUGGGAGCCGGAGGACUGGUUCCCGGGGCUGGAGCUGGGGGACCUGCUGGAGGCCGCGCGGCCGGACUGGGACCUGGACGCGGAGCUGAGCGGCUGCUUCUGCGGCGAGCCCGAGGCGCGGCCGGCGGCGGGCCGCGGCCGGCGGCGGAGCGGCGGGGCGGGCAGCCGGCUGAAGGCGGCGGCGGCGGCGCGGCUGAACCGGCUGAAGAAGAAGCAGUACGUGCUGGGGCUGGAGAGCCGCCUGCAGGGCCUGGCCGCCGAGAACCGGCAGCUGCGCGACCGCAACCGCGGCCUGAGCCGCCGCCUGCGGGAGCUGGAGCGGGAGAGCAGCUACCUGCGGGCCGUGCUGGCGAACCAGAGCGCCCUGGGGCAGCUGCUGAGCCGCCUGGCCGGGGGCCGCGCCGGCGGGCUGCAGCUGGGCACCAGCCUCUUCAGGGACGCGGGCGGCCCCCGCCGCCACCAGCAGCACCUCCCCCCGCAGCCCGGCGGCGAGAGCAGCGACCACGACUACGCCCUGCCCAGCUCCCGGCCCCCGCGGCUGGAGGAGGCGGCGAGGGAGUCGCCGGAGGAGUGGGCGGCCCCCGGCGGCAUCUGCCUCCACGUGGAGCGGGACCAGGUGUCGGUGGAGUUCUGCUCCGCGUGCGCCCGGCGGGCGGCGGCCUCCUCCAAAAUGUAGGGUCGAGUAGCCGGCUGCAAGUACUCGUGGGGGUCCCUCCCUCCGCGCCGCGGCGGAGGCAGCAGGCGAUGUUUCUCUUUUAGGUGCUUGCCCUGCCAGGCUCCGUUGUGUAGGGGUUAAAGAACAGUCGUUUUCCACCUCGCAACCUGGUAAGGAUCAAUAUAUUCCCAUAAUGCGGUAACAGAAAGCUUGCUUUGCUUAUUCCAGUCUCUUCUAGUGACUGGUUUAGGAAAUGAUUUUUCUGGUCCUUGGACCGUUUGGCCUACUCUGCCAAACUUCCUAGCUCUGGAUGAUAACUAAUACUGAAAAUUUUAAUCGCAUCAUUCUCGUUAGCUGUUUUCCUCUUUCUCUUUUCUUAAUAUGAGCAUAGUAGCUAAUAUAUCAGCUAUGUUUUGAAUUACAAAAUAAAUGCUGAUGCCAUUUGAAAUGGGAAUUUGCUAUUAAACUGUAUAUCUGAUGAGGCGAAAGGGGAAAACAUGGUAAUAAGUGCGAUGUGAUGUUUACAGUCUUUUAUCAUUGGGGAAUUUCCCAAAAGUAUAAGUAAAUUGCUUUUUAAAUGGAAAAAAAACGAGUUUGUGACCUACUGGUAUAAAAUACUAUGUCUAGUAUUAGGGAUGCACGGUAUCUUUAUAAAGUCCUUUUCUAGCUCAUUUUAAUUCCUGAUGCAGAAUUUUGCCUGAUUAAACAAAACCUGAAUACUGGUUACAUCUGUACAGUGGAAUCCUAAUGUAGAAGUGUCACUUUUUUGCAUGGAACUCUAAUGAGAAUUGCGGUUUGAAGAAUGCAGUGCAUCAAAGUAACUCAUUACUUUAGCUUACCAUAAGUAAUCUCUAUGCCCAUGCACACUGAAAUUCCUAUGUUACUUCAAAAUAGCUUUAAAUUUUAAAGAUAUUGCAUGUAUAUGCAUGUGCUUAAUUUUACUGUGGAGAUCGUAAAUUUGCCUCUUACAGUAUCCAGAAAUCUGUAACUUUUUUUAAUUAAGCACAACUUGGAGAUGAACAAAUAUGUAUCUUGAGAUUAAUGAUUUGAAAAAUACUCAAAAAUUAACUGAGAUAGGAGGAAAAAUAGUUUGAUAAACAGUAGUGUGUGUUUUCUUGUACUAGUCAGUGUUUUUCCCUAUCAUGAAAGAUGAGCGGGUUGUCUUUUUCAGUUGUAUUAUAAUGUUUAAGUUGUUUAUAUGUAUGUCAGUUGGGGGAAGAAGGACUGUGAAAAUAAUAAUAUGUAAAGUGAGGUUUCACAAAGAACAGAUUUAUUUAAAACAGUUUCAUUUAUUAACUUCACUUCUUUAAAAAAUAUUGCAGUUAAUGUUAUUGACGUCUUAUUUCUUAGAGCCUUAAAUUUUGUGUUUAAGGCUGAGUAGAAGGUGGAAGCAUUUUCUCCCCGUGUUUUGCUUUAUUGGUACUAGACCCUUAGAAGUGUACACCAAUAAAAGAUGAGUUUGAUUUUUCUUUGUGAAACAUCACUGUGUGAUAAAGUAUAUGUGUAUUUAGCAUCCUUGUUUUUCUUUAUGCUAAAGUGGAUUCAGCUGUGUUGGGGCAGAAGAGACGGGACCAGCUGCUGGCCACAUUUCCUGCUUUAUUUUAAAAGGUAGUAUAAGAAAUGAGAAUAAAGAGGUAACAGGGCUUUUGCUGUCUUUAUUUAAAUAAAAAAAAAAAAGUUGAAUGCUGGGAUCAUUUAAUGUCGUCCAAGAUGUUUUUUUGAAAGACAGUAUCCUAUCAAACAGGUUUUCCUCCAGUGUAUUCAGAAUUCCAUCUGUUCACAGAGUACAGUGCCAGCGCAGAAGAGUUGGUGGGAUGUAUGUUAUGUUACAGCUCUGUGGCAUCAACAAGACUGUUUAAACUUUCAGUCUUAAAUUGUGUAACCCUGCUGUAAUUGAUGGGUUGUACAAGUGCCACAUGAAUCUGAGUUAACCAUCAAGACAUGUACUAACUGAUAUGCAAAAAUGGAAAUAAUUGAGCUGGACUGAGCUUUGUUGAAUCUGCCUAGCUCAGACUUAGUAAACAUACUUUAUUUAUAAAGUUUAACAUGCCUAAUUGAAAGACAAACAGUAAUGUAACAGGUACGGGAUGUUACAAUGGCAUUUUUACCGUUACUUCAGAGUAGAUGUGUAUUUUAAGUUAACUUAAAUAUGCAUUCUUUCUUUUUGCAUCACUGCUAAGUGAUAGGAGUCAGACACUCGGUUCUGGUCUCUGUUAGGAACCUGCACAUCACUCUAGUCAUAAAACUAUCUAUGAGCUGUGUCUGACAGUAGCUGAUUUUAUGACAUGGAAAAUUAGAUAUACUGGUACAAGAAGGUCAAGUCCCAAGAAAGUAAGCGGCUGCAGGCAUUUCUAGUGCCUACUGAAUCAUAUUUAAACCAAAUAGAGGGGAGGAAGUUAUUUGAAAUGCUAACCAACUGUACUAUUUGUAUAGUGUAUUAUUAAUGUAGCUUUUUGAAGUGGAAGCCUUGAAAUGACAAAACUUAAUACUUGAAAAAAUAUUGUAAUUGUUUCUUUGUAAUUAUGUGCCAUCCAGAUAAGAAUACAAUAUCGUAAUAAAAUCAGACUUGUUGAUCUUUCA
This is an RNA transcript of Dromaius novaehollandiae (emu), 3515 nucleotides long. It is a transcript of the gene named CREB/ATF bZIP transcription factor, with no coding region annotated. The transcript has 2 exons. NCBI's taxonomy places the organism in Eukaryota, Metazoa, Chordata, Aves, Casuariiformes, Dromaiidae. The record is from RefSeq and is a predicted model, not a curated record.